AACGAACGCUGGCGGCAUGCCUAACACAUGCAAGUCGAACGAGACCUUCGGGUCUAGUGGCGCACGGGUGCGUAACGCGUGGGAACCUGCCCUUAGGUUCGGAAUAACUCUCCGAAAGGGGUGCUAAUACCGGAUAAUGUCUUCGGACCAAGGAUUUAUCGUCUUUGGAUGGGCCCGCGUUGGAUUAGCUUGUUGGUAGGGUAAAAGCCUACCAAGGCGACGAUCCAUAGCUGGUCUGAGGGGAUGAUCAGCCACACUGGGACAGGGACACGGCCCAGACUCCGACGGGAGGCAGCAGUGGUGAAUAAGGGACACCGGGCGAAAGCCGGAUCCAGCAAUGCCGCGUGAGUGAUUAAGGCCUUAGGAUUGUAAAGCUCUUUUACCCGGGAUGUUAAGGCCGGUACCGAGAGAAUAAGCCCCGCCUACCUCCGU
RNAcentral lists this ribosomal RNA (432 nucleotides) under uncultured bacterium. RNAcentral describes it as "partial 16S ribosomal RNA". It matches the Rfam family "Bacterial small subunit ribosomal RNA", at positions 29 to 506 of the family's 1533-position model. The record is from RNAcentral.